CCUGCAGCAUUGUUUUGCCUCUGCUGCACACAGCCCAUUUCUACUGGGAAUUAACAACCUUUUUGGUAAACCUGGUUCUGCAAAUAUUUGACGUCUGGAAAACUUUCAACAAAGACGGCGUUCGGAAGCCUGGCUCGGAGGCCCCAGGAUGACAACCUAAUUACAUUCCUUUUAAUAGCUCCUUCCCAAGUGCUCAGUCAGGGACAUCUGCUCUGCCGCGGUUGCACCUUCAGGGAGGAAUAUUUUUAACACCGUCAUGCCACAAAAGGAAACUUCUGAAGGCUGGAUGAAAAUGGCCUCUGCGUUCCCAGAGCCUCAGGGCCCAGUUUUCACAGAGGUAAAUUCAAUGUGCCAGGCCAUCUCAGCCUCGCCCAGCUUUCCGUGUUAGCAGGGUGUCUGAAAUAACCGUCCAGAGCACAGCAGAGCCACUGGUGCCAGCCCUGCGCGCUCCCACUGGGCCCCAUCAGUCAGGGUGCUUUCUGCUCCUGGCUGCUUCUACCUGUUUACUGGACUUACCUCCACACCCCAGCUGGGGGUCCCCCGCCCAGACCCUUGCUAUGGCAGAAGCCCCUGGGAUCAACAAGGAAAAUGCAAGGAGCCGAGAGGUUUCAAUAGGAGUGUGGCAUAAGGAUGGUCAGCAUGAGUGGGCACCAUCAGGCCAAGGAAAGAAGUCAACAGCACUCAGGGAAAUGAGGUCAGACCACAAGGGUAGCCAUAAACCACUCCCCACCACCACCCUAACACCACCACCAGUAAGUAACCCUUUAUUCCUUUUUCCCAUUUUGGCCUUAGCUUCCCUAGGGGUGGCCCUGGAGGAUAAGGAGAGUAGGCGCCAGUAGAAUGUAAGAGCAGGCACUUGGACUUGGUGGGCCUCCUUCAUUUACUGCCUGUGACCUUUCUGUCAUCUGUUUAAUUAUACCUUUAUCUCCAGUUGCUGAGACGAGUAAACACUUGACAGUUGGCCCCUGCCACACACCUAGGGAGAGUUUAUCAAAUGAUGGACCCUUUCCCAGCUUUAAAUAAGCCCCAUAUAUAAAAACCUGUCUCUGUCAAAGGGGUGUGUAUGUGUUUUAAUACAGCAAAAAAGAAAAAAAAGAAUAAAAAAGUUAGCAGACUUU
This is a long non-coding RNA of Homo sapiens (human), 1118 nucleotides long. RefSeq lists it as uncharacterized. The transcript has 3 exons. Lineage: Eukaryota; Metazoa; Chordata; Mammalia; Primates; Hominidae. The record is from RefSeq and is a predicted model, not a curated record.